This 257-nucleotide long non-coding RNA is filed under the name Elaeis guineensis (African oil palm). Its description in RNAcentral is "long non-coding RNA (EGUI_LNC082351)". Lineage: Eukaryota; Viridiplantae; Streptophyta; Magnoliopsida; Arecales; Arecaceae. The record is from RNAcentral.
GUGGGGCUGUGGGAGUUCGGCUCCCGUAGGUGAAGUCGGGGCGAGGUCUGGCUCCCGUGGGAGUCCGAACGGGGUCUACCUGUAAUUGAAGUCAGGCGAAAUUUGGCUCCCGUGGGAGUCCGGGCGGAACUUACCAGCGUUUGAAGUUGAGGACGAAGCUCGGCUCCCGUAGGAGUCCGGACGAAGUUUGCCUACAGCCGAAGUUGGAGGAGGAGUCCGGCUCCCGUAAGAGCCCGAACGGAGCUUGCCUGCAGUUG